Molecule: ribosomal RNA, 776 nt
Filed under: uncultured bacterium
Lineage: Bacteria
Description: bacterial SSU rRNA
Rfam family: Bacterial small subunit ribosomal RNA
Source: RNAcentral
AGAGUUUGAUCAUGGCUCAGGACGAACGCUGGCGGCGUGCUUAACACAUGCAAGUCACGGGGGCCCGCAAGGGCAACCGGCGAACGGGUGCGUAACACGUGAGCAACCUACCUCGAUGUGGGGGAUAGCCGGCCCAACGGCCGGGUAAUACCGCAUACGAUUCAUGAGGGGAGUCCCUUGUGAAGGAAACCUCCGGGGCAUUGAGAGGGGCUCGCGGCCUAUCAGCUAGUUGGCGAGGUAACGGCUCACCAAGGCGACGACGGGUAGCUGGUCUGAGAGGAUGGCCAGCCACAUUGGGACUGAGAGACGGCCCAGACUCCUACGGGAGGCAGCAGUGGGGAAUCUUGCGCAAUGGCCGAAAGGCUGACGCAGCGACGCCGCGUGUGGGAUGAAGCAUUUCGGUGUGUAAACCACUGUUGCCCGGGACGAACAGCUUCUUUCGAGGAGCCUGACGGUACCGGGUGAGGAAGCACCGGCUAACUCCGUGCCAGCAGCCGCGGUAAUACGGAGGGUGCGAGCGUUGUCCGGAAUCACUGGGCGUAAAGGGCGCGUAGGCGGCCCGGCAAGUCAACGGUGAAAGCUUGGGGCUCAACCCCGAGUCGGCCGUCGAUACUUCCGGGCUGGAGCACUGUAGAGGCAGGUGGAAUUCCGGGUGUAGCGGUGGAAUGCGUAGAGAUCCGGAAGAACACCGGUGGCGAAGGCGNNNUGCUGGGCAGUAGCUGACGCUGAGGCGCGACAGCGUGGGGAGCAAACAGGAUUAGAUACCCUAGUAGUCC